RNAcentral lists this ribosomal RNA (253 nucleotides) under uncultured prokaryote. Its description in RNAcentral is "partial 16S ribosomal RNA". It matches the Rfam family "Bacterial small subunit ribosomal RNA", at positions 524 to 776 of the family's 1533-position model. The record is from RNAcentral.
UACAGAGGGUGCGAGCGUUGUUCGGAAUUAUUGGGCGUAAAGGGCGCGUAGGCGGUGCCACAAGUCACUUGUGAAAUCCCCGGGCUUAACUCGGGGCCUGCAGGCGAAACUGUGGUGCUGGAGUAUGGGAGAGGUGCGUGGAAUUCCCGGUGUAGCGGUGAAAUGCGUAGAUAUCAGGAGGAAUACCGGUGGCGAAAGCGACUCUCUGGACGGUAACUGACGCUGAGGCACGAAAGCGUGGGGAGCAAACAGG